Molecule: long non-coding RNA, 341 nt
Filed under: Malus domestica (apple)
Lineage: Eukaryota; Viridiplantae; Streptophyta; Magnoliopsida; Rosales; Rosaceae
Description: long non-coding RNA (MDOM_LNC014623)
Source: RNAcentral
UCUUCCUCAUUUGCUUGCUCUUCAUUUCCUCAGCCUCUCCAAUCCUCGGUUGUGGCUAUUGCGGCAAGCCAAAGCACAAGCCUAUGAAACCUACCAAACCUCCCAAAGGCCCCAUAGUCAUUCCACCCAUUCAUGUCAAGCCACCUGGCGUCAAAGUCCCUCCAGUCACAGUCCCUCCCAUUGUCAAACCACCAGUCACAAUACCACCCAUUGUCAAACCACCAGUUACAAAUCCACCAAGUCCAGGGACACCAUGCCCUCCACCUCCAGGGAAACCUAGUCCGGCUUCCAAGGACACAUGCCCCAUUGACACAUUGAAACUGGGUGCUUGUGUGGAUCUU